UUCUCUCUCUUCUUCAGUUCUUGUUUCCGCAAGCGUCCACUAUUGCUUCCCGUCUCUGCCACCAACAAAUCGAAAUAAAAAUACCAGCCAUGGAUGUCAGGAACAGAACCGACUGCACUGGCCAGUUCGGUCUGAGACUAGAACUCAUUUGCGGUUAAUCAUUCGGUACCCGUGUGGUUCCACAAUUAUCUCAAGUUGUAAACAGCUAAUAAUCUGGUAGAGCUCAAGUUGAAUCGCAUAAAGAACACAUAAAAUAAACAAACAUAGCUGAGCCAAAUCGGUAGAUUUAGAGAUGCAGAGUCACAGUUUCUACUCUAGCAAGAAAAAGCGAAACGUUUGAAGAAGAGUAGAGCUCUGUCCACAAGCGCCGGAGCAACAAUGCAAAUUUCAACGUAGAGG
Molecule: non-coding RNA, 399 nt
Organism: Arachis ipaensis
Lineage: Eukaryota; Viridiplantae; Streptophyta; Magnoliopsida; Fabales; Fabaceae
Source: RefSeq, a predicted model, not a curated record